AGAGUUUGAUCAUGGCUCAGAAUCAACGCUGGCGGCGCGCUUAACACAUGCAAGUCGCACGAGAAAGUGGAGCAAUCCAUGAGUAAAGUGGCGUACGGGUGAGUAACACGUGGAUCAUCUACCUUCUAGUGGGGAAUACCCCUGGGAAACUGGGGACAAUACCGCAUAAGCUCGUAAGAGGAAAGCAGCAAUGCGCUGGAAGAGGAGUCCGCGGCUGAUUAGCUAGUUGGCGGGGUAACGGCCCACCAAGGCGAAGAUCGGUAGCCGGCCUGAGAGGGCACACGGCCACACUGGCACUGAAACACGGGCCAGACUCCUACGGGAGGCAGCAGUGGGGAAUCUUGCACAAUGGAGGAAACUCUGAUGCAGCGACGCCGCGUGAGCGAUGAAGCCCUUCGGGGUGUAAAGCUCUUUCGACGGGAACGAUAAUGACGGUACCCGAAGAAGAAGCUGCGGCUAACUACGUGCCAGCAGCCGCGGUAAUACGUAGGCAGCAAGCGUUGUUCGGAAUUACUGGGCGUAAAGAGUGUGUAGGCGGUGUUCUAAGUUUGUCGUGAAAUCUCCCGGCUUAACUGGGAGGGUGCGGCGAAAACUGGAAUGCUAGAGGAUGGGAGAGGUAAGCGGAAUUCCUGGUGUAGCGGUGAAAUGCGUAGAUAUCAGGAGGAACACCUGUGGUGUAGACAGCUUACUGGACCAUUUCUGACGCUGAGACACGAAAGCGUGGGUAGCAAACAGGAUUAGAUACCCUAGUAGUCC
This 756-nucleotide ribosomal RNA is filed under the name uncultured bacterium. RNAcentral's name for it is "bacterial SSU rRNA". It matches the Rfam family "Bacterial small subunit ribosomal RNA", at positions 8 to 796 of the family's 1533-position model. The record is from RNAcentral.